This 483-nucleotide ribosomal RNA is filed under the name uncultured bacterium. RNAcentral describes it as "bacterial SSU rRNA". It matches the Rfam family "Bacterial small subunit ribosomal RNA", at positions 30 to 507 of the family's 1533-position model. The record is from RNAcentral.
AUUGAACGCUGGCGGCAUGCCUUACACAUGCAAGUCGAACGGCAGCACGGGAGCAAUCCUGGUGGCGAGUGGCGAACGGGUGAGUAAUAUAUCGGAACGUGCCCAGUCGUGGGGGAUAACGUAGCGAAAGCUACGCUAAUACCGCAUACGAUCUAUGGAUGAAAGCGGGGGAUCGCAAGACCUCGCGCGAUUGGAGCGGCCGAUAUCAGAUUAGGUAGUUGGUGAGGUAAAGGCUCACCAAGCCAACGAUCUGUAGCUGGUCUGAGAGGACGACCAGCCACACUGGAACUGAGACACGGUCCAGACUCCUACGGGAGGCAGCAGUGGGGAAUUUUGGACAAUGGACGCAAGUCUGAUCCAGCCAUUCCGCGUGCAGGAUGAAGGCCCUCGGGUUGUAAACUGCUUUGUACGGAACGAAAAGGUUUCUAUUAAUACUAGGAGCUCAUGACGGUACCGUAAGAAUAAGCACCGGCUAACUACGUG